AGUGAACGCUGGCGGUAGGCCUAACACAUGCAAGUCGAACGGCAGCACAGUAAGAGCUUGCUCUUACGGGUGGCGAGUGGCGGACGGGUGAGGAAUACAUCGGAAUCUACUUUUUCGUGGGGGAUAACGUAGGGAAACUUACGCUAAUACCGCAUACGACCUACGGGUGAAAGCAGGGGAUCUUCGGACCUUGCGCGAUUGAAUGAGCCGAUGUCGGAUUAGCUAGUUGGCGGGGUAAAGGCCCACCAAGGCGACGAUCCGUAGCUGGUCUGAGAGGAUGAUCAGCCACACUGGAACGGAGACACGGUCCAGACUCCUACGGGAGGCAGCAGUGGGGAAUAUUGGACAAUGGGCGCAAGCAUGAUCCAGCCAUACCGCGUGGGUGAAGAAGGCCUUCGGGUUGUAAGGCCCUUUUGUUGGGAAAGAAAAGCAGCAGGUUAAUACCCCGCUGUUCUGACGGUACCCAAAGAAUAAGCACCGGCUAACUUCGUG
Molecule: ribosomal RNA, 492 nt
Filed under: uncultured bacterium
Lineage: Bacteria
Description: partial 16S ribosomal RNA
Rfam family: Bacterial small subunit ribosomal RNA
Source: RNAcentral